AUGGAUUUGUUUCUGCCACUCGUCUCAUUUAUUCUGAUUCUUGGAGGACAAGGUAGCCAGCAUGCGAGUUUUGCCGAUGCGGCCAAGAUGACGCUGACAAACAUGGAGACGCUGAUGGCGUACUGGGAGGCGGCGCUUCCAGGAAUUCCGAUUCCACCAGCUAUCAGCGACCUAUUAGCGCAACAAAAAGUGUGUGUUCCCUUAGAUGACGUUAUAAUUAGUCCCAGUAACCUCAAGUUUACUACAGGGCUGUCAAAAAUUGAACCAAACUAUGAGAGAGUCAAGUCAGAAGCUGGUCACAUGGACAACCAUGUUCAUAUCAUAUCACAAGUUGAAGAUCAUUUAAAGGAGGCCCAUGGGUCUCAUGGCGAACAAGGUAUAAAGAAGGCCAUGAUAGCACAUGAGCCAAAUAUUGGUAAGGAUCUGAAGACACAACCAUUGUCACAUGGGUUACAAGCUAAAAAUUAUGUAGAAGAAAAAAUUGCUGCGCAUAGAACAAAAAAUGAAGAAAAUCUAAAGGAAAUAUCAGUGUCAUAUGGGUCAGAAGGUGACAACAAUUUUAAGAAAGUUUCACUAAAUUUGAAGAAGAUCCUUGCAGCAUAUACACCUUUGAAAGAUGAAAACCUUAAGGAAAUAUCUGUGUCCUAUGGAUCAAAAGGUGGAGAAGCCCACAAAGAAGUUUCAGGGUCAUACGGGUUAGAAGGUGAACAUAAUUUAAAAGAAAUAUCACUGUCUUAUGGUAUAAACAGCAAUGAUACUCCAAAGGAAGAAUCUGCAUAUGAAGAAAAUGUAAAGGAUAUCUCAGUGUCAUAUGGGUUAGAAGGUUCAAAGAGUUUAAAGAAAGUUCCACUAAAUUUAAAGAAGAACCUUGCAGCAUACAAGGAAAUAUCUGUGUCAUAUGGAUCAAAAGGCCAAGAGAUUUCAAAGGAAGCAUCAGGAAUAUCUGGGUUAAAAGGAUCAUAUGGGUUAGAAGGUGAAAAGGAGUUAAAAGAAAUCUCAGUGUCUUAUGCCGCAGACGGCCAUGAAAAUCUAAAGGAAAUAUCCGUAUCAUAUGGAUCAAAGGACCAAAAAAUUGGCAAGGAAGCAUCAGGAUCGUAUGGGUUAAAAGGUGAAAGGGAUUUAAAAGAAAUCUCGGUGUCUUAUGGUGUAAAUGGCCACGAGAUUCUGAAGGGAGGCUCCACAACACAGGAAGAAAAUUCGAAGGAAGCUACUAUGUCAUAUGGGUCAGUCGAAGAGAAAGAUGAACAAUCCCACAUUCUGAACCAAGUAAAAGGAGAGGGGAGCCACCACCAUGUUCACGCUCAUAGCUACAAGAACAAGAAAGAGGCAGAUGUCUUUUUCUUCCACGACAUGUUGAGGCCAGGGUCCUUGGUCACACCGACAAUCCCGCCAACCACCUCCAUGCCAGCUCUUCUUCCCCGCGACAUCGCUGACUCCAUCCCAUUCUCCACCGAGCACCUCUCAGACAUCAUCACGAUGUUCGCGCCGGCGUCCCUCACGAUGACCAGAGAGAUACGGUGGACGAUGGAGACCUGCGAGCACCCACGGACGCUGCCCGGCCAGAAAGCAGGCUGCGCCACCUCCCUCGAGUCCCUCGCUGAGCUUCCGGCGUCCCUCCUUGGGAGGAGCAAUGUCCGCGCGUUCUCCGCCGUGGAUCUGCCCAUGGAUGACCCGGGAAAACCUGCGCUUAGGGGGAGGUACAAGGUGACGGCUGCACGGAAGCUCUCCGGGUCAUCAUCUGAGGUCGUAACCUGCCAUGACCUGACCUUCCCCUAUGGUCGAUGCUUCGCUAUAGCCAUCGGCGUUCUGUCACCAAAAGGCGAACAACCCGGCUCUGCCAUCGACGGGCGUCGUACAUCUGAUGCAGACAGCACGUCCGCUGGCGCCAUGUCAUGCGAACGAUUGGGUGCAAAGAGAUGGAGUCGUGAUCUUCAUCUUGACUUGGUCUUCGUUGCUUUCCUGGUCUUGCUAUCCACGGUGGGGAUGUUUGUUUUGCUCAAACUUGAGGAAAUUAACCCGAAGAAGAUUGUUGGUUAA
This 2037-nucleotide ribosomal RNA is filed under the name Triticum aestivum (bread wheat). RNAcentral describes it as "partial small subunit ribosomal RNA". Lineage: Eukaryota; Viridiplantae; Streptophyta; Magnoliopsida; Poales; Poaceae. The record is from RNAcentral.